Long non-coding RNA from Papaver somniferum (opium poppy), 962 nucleotides. RefSeq lists it as uncharacterized. The transcript is spliced from 8 exons. The record is from RefSeq and is a predicted model, not a curated record. Lineage: Eukaryota; Viridiplantae; Streptophyta; Magnoliopsida; Ranunculales; Papaveraceae.
CCUAAAUCACAUUUCUUGAGAAAGAAAAAGAAACCCUAAAUCACAUUCUACGAUUUCUAGGUAUCAAAUCCAUCGAGAUCGAUUCAUAUUCCUCCAAAUCUCGAACUGCUUGGUCGAGUUUCAGGAAUUUGUAAUUUGUAAGCCUUUCUGUUAAACCCUCUAACCCUUCGUUCAUCAAACUUGGAAAUGAGUAAGAAGAAGAGAAGGAAAAAGAACCAACAAUGGUGUUUCAUAAUAAUUUGGUAUGUGCGGGAUUACAGGGUUUAUAAAAAAGCUACCUUGUCUAUUGCCUGUGGGAUAUUUAGGGACAAGAAAGCUAAACCGAAAAGACGUCAGUACACAUCCCGCAAUACAAAUGAAAAGCUUUCUUGUGAAAUGUUGGACUACUAAAAAGAAUCGGGUACUUUCUGAUCGCAUUAUCAAAAGUAAAAGCCACCAGAAAGCCAUGCACACAAUGGUUUAAAGGUUGUGCCAGAUGUAUGUGGUUCACAGACGAAGAAGCUCCAUGCUAUACUGUCCUACCAAGGGAAGAGUUAUCCAAUGAAGAAGGAUUUACAGUGUGAAACAGAGGAGUUACUACAUUUUUACUUAGGCCUGAUGCUAGUUAUUGUGAAGUUUGGUUGAUAAUCAAGAAAGAGAAUCUGGAAGCAUGUACACAGAUUGGGAUAUACUUCCUCGUCUCCAUUCAAGACCUCACUGCGAAAAAGCUGAAAAACUUGGAGGAGAGGGAGUCUAUCGAUGAUCCUAAGGAUGUUAAACCUGAGGGAUGUGUCUCCAUUCCAGCCAAAGUUCCUGCCCGAAAGCUAAAGAGCCUGACUGGGAUGACGAAGAAGAUGGUAUAUGGAGAGUACCUAAGAUACCUAAUCUUACAAAGGACCAUGGAAGCUUAAGAAAAUUAAGAACCCCAAUUACAAAGGGGGUAGUUGAAGACUCAGUGGAUUGAUUACCCAGGUAUAUUGCCA